This 481-nucleotide long non-coding RNA is filed under the name Solanum tuberosum (potato). Its description in RNAcentral is "long non-coding RNA (STUB_LNC008531)". Lineage: Eukaryota; Viridiplantae; Streptophyta; Magnoliopsida; Solanales; Solanaceae. The record is from RNAcentral.
GAUAUUCUAGGUGCCUUAAAAACCUUCCUAGAAUAUUAAUAGGAACCCCGAACCCUCUUUAAGUAUUUUCAAUUGAUUUCCUGUUUUAAUCUAUUGAAAAUCAGUUUUCUUGAUUUUUCUUAAAAAAUUAAGUGGCGACUCUUAAACCAAGUCUGUUUGCAUGUGAAAUUUGUCCGGGUCCUCAUGGACUCUAUCCUCGCAUUUUCCUUUGGGCCACGGAGGCCCAUAUCCCCUCUUAUCCGAGUCAGCUAGAUAUCAAAAUCGACGAACAGGUCUCAAAAUUGAAAGAAAAGCGGAGCAAAUUGGGAGUUGAAAAAGAUUGGGCCAAAGCCUACCUUUAUUUAUUCGGAAUUGUAUUUUGUUAUUAUUGGGCCUAAGCCCUCGCCAUUUUACUUAUUAUUACUUGUUAGUUCUUAGGACAGGUGAAAAUUGGACCAAAGGCCCAAAACGAAAAUGGGUCCAAGUACUGGUUCAGGCGGAC